UACGUAGGGGGCAAGCGUUGUCCGGAAUCAUUGGGCGUAAAGAGCGCGUAGGCGGCCCUGUAAGUCCGCUGUGAAAGUCAAGGGCUCAACCCUUGAAUGCCGGUGGAUACUGCAGGGCUAGAGUCCGGAAGAGGCGAGUGGAAUUCCUGGUGUAGCGGUGAAAUGCGUAGAUAUCAAGAGGAACACCUGCGGCGAAGGCGGGUUGCUGGGCCGACACUGACGCUGAAGCGCGAAAGCCAGGGGAGCGAACGGG
RNAcentral lists this ribosomal RNA (253 nucleotides) under uncultured bacterium. Its description in RNAcentral is "partial 16S ribosomal RNA". It matches the Rfam family "Bacterial small subunit ribosomal RNA", at positions 524 to 776 of the family's 1533-position model. The record is from RNAcentral.